RNAcentral lists this unclassified non-coding RNA (309 nucleotides) under plant metagenome. RNAcentral's name for it is "partial contains 5.8S ribosomal RNA, internal transcribed spacer 2, and large subunit ribosomal RNA". The stretch from base 1 to 105 matches the Rfam family "5.8S ribosomal RNA", at positions 50 to 154 of the family's 154-position model. The record is from RNAcentral.
GAAAUGCGAUAAGUAGUGUGAAUUGCAGAAUUCAGUGAAUCAUCGAAUCUUUGAACGCACAUUGCGCCCCUUGGUAUUCCAUGGGGCAUGCCUGUUCGAGCGUCAUUUUUACCCUCAAGCUCUGCUUGGUGUUGGGUGUUUGUCCCGUCUCCGCGCGUGGACUCGCCCCAAAGUGAUUGGCAGCCGGCGUACUGGUCCCGGAGCGCAGCACAUGUCGCGCAAACGAGUGCCUUGGUACGGCGGCGUCCAUAAGCCCCUCUCUCACGCUCUUGACCUCGGAUCAGGUAGGGAUACCCGCUGAACUUAAGC